RNAcentral lists this ribosomal RNA (428 nucleotides) under uncultured bacterium. RNAcentral's name for it is "partial 16S ribosomal RNA". It matches the Rfam family "Bacterial small subunit ribosomal RNA", at positions 354 to 796 of the family's 1533-position model. The record is from RNAcentral.
GUGGGGAAUCUUCCGCAAUGGACGAAAGUCUGACGCAGCGACGCCGCGUGAGUGAUGAAGGCCUUAGGGUCGUAAAGCUCUGUUGAAUGGGAAGAAAAAAAUGACGGUACCAUUCGAGGAAGGACCGGCUAACUUCGUGCCAGCAGCCGCGGUAAUACGAGGGGUCCUAGCGUUGUUCGGAAUCAUUGGGCGUAAAGGGUGUGUAGGUGGCCAUGUAAGUCAGGUGUGAAAGCCCCGGGCUCAACCCGGGAAGUGCACUUGAUACUGCGUGGCUUGAGUACCGAAGAGGGUAGUGGAAUUCCAGGUGUAGUGGUGAAAUACGUAGAUAUCUGGAGGAACACCGGUGGCGAAGGCGGCUACCUGGUCGAGUACUGACACUGAGACACGAAAGCAUGGGGAUCAAACAGGAUUAGAAACCCGGGUAGUCC